This 493-nucleotide ribosomal RNA is filed under the name uncultured Bacteroidota bacterium. RNAcentral's name for it is "bacterial SSU rRNA". It matches the Rfam family "Bacterial small subunit ribosomal RNA", at positions 355 to 850 of the family's 1533-position model. Lineage: Bacteria; Pseudomonadati; Bacteroidota. The record is from RNAcentral.
UGAGGAAUAUUGGUCAAUGGGCGCAAGCCUGAACCAGCCAUGCCGCGUGCAGGGUGACGGUCCUAUGGAUUGUAAACUGCUUUUGUACGGGAAGAAACACUCCUACGUGUAGGAGCUUGACGGUACCGUAAGAAUAAGGAUCGGCUAACUCCGUGCCAGCAGCCGCGGUAAUACGGAGGAUCCAAGCGUUAUCCGGAAUCAUUGGGUUUAAAGGGUCCGUAGGCGGUUUAAUAAGUCAGUGGUGAAAGCCCAUCGCUUAACGAUGGAACGGCCAUUGAUACUGUUAGACUUGAAUUAGUGGGAAGUAACUAGAAUAUGUAGUGUAGCGGUGAAAUGCUUAGAUAUUACAUGGAAUACCGAUUGCGAAGGCAGGUUACUAUCACUAUAUUGACGCUGAUGGACGAAAGCGUGGGGAGCGAACAGGAUUAGAUACCCUGGUAGUCCACGCCGUAAACGAUGGAUACUAGCUGUUCGGAGCAAUCUGAGUGGCUAA